GAUCAUGGCUCAGGAUGAACGCUAGCGACAGGCUUAACACAUGCAAGUCGAGGGGCAGCAUAAAAGUAGCAAUACUUGGUGGCGACCGGCGCACGGGUGAGUAACGCGUAUGCAACCUACCUAUCAGAGGGGAAUAACCCGGCGAAAGUCGGACUAAUACCGCAUAAAACAGGGGCACCGCAUGGUGAUAUUUGUUAAAGAAAUUCGCUGAUAGAUGGGCAUGCGUUCCAUUAGGUAGUUGGUGAGGUAACGGCUCACCAAGCCGACGAUGGAUAGGGGAACUGAGAGGUUGGUCCCCCACACUGGUACUGAGACACGGACCAGACUCCUACGGGAGGCAGCAGUGAGGAAUAUUGGUCAAUGGGCGGGAGCCUGAACCAGCCAAGUCGCGUGAAGGAAGAAGGAUCUAUGGUUCGUAAACCUCUUUUGCAGGGGAAUAAAGUGCAGGACGUGUCCUGUUUUGUAUGUACCCUGAGAAUAAGGAUCGGCUAACUCCGUGCCAGCCGCGGC
This 510-nucleotide ribosomal RNA is filed under the name uncultured bacterium. Its description in RNAcentral is "bacterial SSU rRNA". It matches the Rfam family "Bacterial small subunit ribosomal RNA", at positions 15 to 518 of the family's 1533-position model. The record is from RNAcentral.